GGGAGGCUUGCACAGGUGCUGCAUGGCUGUCGUCAGCUCGUGUCGUGAGAUGUUCGGUUAAGUCCGCUAACGAGCGCAACCCUCGCUGUGUGUUAUAUGUGUCACACGGGACUGCCGGUCUUAAGCCGGAGGAAGGUGGGGAUGAUGUCAAGUCAGCAUGGCCUUUAUAUCCUGGGCUACACACACGCUACAAUGGCCAACACAAUAGGUUGCUAAGCCGCGAGGUGGCGCCAAUCCAUAAAGUUGGUCUCAGUUCAGAUUGUAGGCUGCAACCCGCCUGCAUGAAGAUGGAGUUGCUAGUAACCGCAGGUCAGCUAUACUGCGGUGAAUACGUUCCCGGGGCUU
RNAcentral lists this ribosomal RNA (345 nucleotides) under uncultured Leptolinea sp. RNAcentral describes it as "bacterial SSU rRNA". It matches the Rfam family "Bacterial small subunit ribosomal RNA", at positions 1023 to 1382 of the family's 1533-position model. The record is from RNAcentral. Lineage: Bacteria; Bacillati; Chloroflexota; Anaerolineae; Anaerolineales; Anaerolineaceae.